RNAcentral lists this ribosomal RNA (586 nucleotides) under uncultured bacterium. Its description in RNAcentral is "bacterial SSU rRNA". It matches the Rfam family "Bacterial small subunit ribosomal RNA", at positions 66 to 616 of the family's 1533-position model. The record is from RNAcentral.
GCGUACCAUGACAGUUCUAGGGGCAGCACGUAUGUUAUCAAUACAUGGGUGGCGUACCGUGUCGCACGGGUGCGUAACACGAUAUGGAAUCUGCCCUUUACCUGGAGGAUAGCCCGGAGAAAUCCGGAUUAAUACUCCAUAAUAAGUCGAGUGGCAUCACUUGGCUUUGAAAGCUCCGGCGGUAAAGGAUGACCAUGCGCACGAUUAGCUAGUUGGUGAGGUAACGGCUCACCAAGGCUACGAUCGUUAGGGGGCCUGAGAGGGUUAUCCCCCACACUGGUACUGAGACACGGACCAGACUCCUACGGGAGGCAGCAGUGAGGAUUAUUGCGCAAUGGAGGCAACUCUGACGCAGCCAUGCCGCGUGCAGGAAGAAGGCGCUACACGUUGUAAACUGCUUUUAACCGGGAAGAAACCCCAGGACGUGUCCUGGGUUGACGGUUCCGGAGGAAUAUGCACCGGCUAACUUCGUGCCAGCAGCCACGGUAAUACUAAGGGUGCAAGCGUUAUCCGGAUUCAUUGUGUUUAAAGGGUGCGUUAUGCGGGAUGGUAAUUCAUCUGGUACAACUCCUGCAGCCUUAACUGU